AAAAACAUCGCCUCCCGUCUCCCAUGAGAGGUCCAGCCUGCCCAGUGGAUUUACUAAACGGCCGCGGUACCCUAACCGUGCUAAGGUAGCGCAAUCACUUGUCCCCUAAAUAGGGACUCGUAUGAACGGCACCACGAGGGUUGUUCUGUCUCCCCCCUUUAAUCAGUGAAACUGACCCCCCCGUGAAGAGGCGGGGAUAAGCAUAUAAGACGAGAAGACCCCAUGGAGCUUUAAAUUCACGCCACCUAUCCUCCAAACACCCUUAAAACCGGGUAGCCCUGGCCACUGUUUUAGGUUGGGGCGACCACGGAGUAAAACUCAACCUCCGAGACGAAUAUUUAAUUCAAGAGCAACAACUCAAAAAAUCAAAACUGACGUAAUUGACCCAAAAAAUCAUUUGAUCAACGAACCAAGUUACCCUGGGGAUAACAGCGCAAUCCAUUUCAAGAGCCCCUAUCGACAAAUGGGUUUACGACCUCGAUGUUGGAUCAGGGUACCCGGGUGGUGUAGCCGCUACCAAAGGUUCGUUUGUUCAACGAUUAAAACCCUACGUGAUCUGAGUUCA
This 565-nucleotide ribosomal RNA is filed under the name Synapturanus sp. RODS-2018. RNAcentral describes it as "partial 16S ribosomal RNA". It matches the Rfam family "Bacterial large subunit ribosomal RNA", at positions 1809 to 2613 of the family's 2925-position model. The record is from RNAcentral. Lineage: Eukaryota; Metazoa; Chordata; Amphibia; Anura; Microhylidae.